CCACCAUACCGACAGAUUUCAACAACAUCAUGACGUCAUCGCACCAAAACCACCCUACGCGUCUACGACCAGACUCUUGUUCGAAAAUCAAACUUCCGACGGAAAGAAAAAUCUUAGUUUCUCGACGCACGUCUCCGACUAAUGUCGCGAUAUCAUACUACGCAGAACUCGGAUCAAGGUCAUCCGGAAUUAAAAAAAAAAAAAGAAACUUUUCGUACCCAUCGACCGCUUCAUCAAUAUACGUAUCGCUGUCGGCCAAUACCACGGUAACAUAAACACGUCCAACUUAAAUCAGGAAGCAAUAGCGGAUGAAAAUGAACAGAAAACAGAAUUUCAAAACACAUGGUAUCUCAGUACUUAUAAUGUUGUAUACAUACGUGAACUCGAUAUAAACAUAUUCCAAAAUAAAUCACCUAUUGUAUUUUCAAAUGCACAAUAGACCUGCCGAUUUUUUACGGUUAGAGAAACGUACAGAGCCAAGACAUGAUAGAAAUUCAAUAUGCACAUAAAAGAGAAAAUGCAAUUAAAAAGCAAAUCAAAUUCAAAACUACUCCACUCAAUGAAGUUGAAGAUAUAAUAAAAUACAUUUUAGCUCAAUCUCCAUUUAACUUGAAAAGACAACUUAAAAAAAACACUG
RNAcentral lists this long non-coding RNA (637 nucleotides) under Sipha flava (yellow sugarcane aphid). Its description in RNAcentral is "uncharacterized LOC112685726, transcript variant X1". Lineage: Eukaryota; Metazoa; Arthropoda; Insecta; Hemiptera; Aphididae. The record is from RNAcentral.